AACACAUGCAAGUCGAACGGCAGCACAGAGGAGCUUGCUCCUUGGGUGGCUGAGUGGCGGACGGGUGAGGAAUACGUCGGAAUCUGCCUAUUUGUGGGGGAUAACGUAGGGAAACUUACGCUAAUACCGCAUACGACCUACGGGUGAAAGUGGGGGACCGCAAGGCCUCACGCAGAUAGAUGAGCCGACGUCGGAUUAGCUAGUUGGCGGGGUAAAGGCCCACCAAGGCGACGAUCCGUAGCUGGUCUGAGAGGAUGAUCAGCCACACUGGAACUGAGACACGGUCCAGACUCCUACGGGAGGCAGCAGUGGGGAAUAUUGGACAAUGGGCGCAAGCCUGAUCCAGCCAUGCCGCGUGUGUGAAGAAGGCCUUCGGGUUGUAAGCACUUUUGUCCGGAAAGAAAGGCUUAGGGUUAAUAACCCUGAGUCAUGACGGUACCGGAAGAAUAAGCACCGGCUAACUUCGUGCCAGCAGCCGCGGUAAUACGAAGGGUGCAAGCGUUACUCGGAAUUACUGGGCGU
Molecule: ribosomal RNA, 522 nt
Filed under: uncultured bacterium
Lineage: Bacteria
Description: bacterial SSU rRNA
Rfam family: Bacterial small subunit ribosomal RNA
Source: RNAcentral